CAUCCUCCAAGGCUAAAUACUCCUGACUGACCGAUAGUGAACCAGUACCGUGAGGGAAAGGCGAAAAGAACCCCGGCGAGGGGAGUGAAAAAGAACCUGAAACCGUGUACGUACAAGCAGUGGGAGCACAGGUUUACCUGUGUGACUGCGUACCUUUUGUAUAAUGGGUCAGCGACUUAUAUUCUGUAGCAAGGUUAACCGAAUAGGGGAGCCGGAGGGAAACCGAGUCUUAACCGGGCGUUAAGUUGCAGGGUAUAGACCCGAAACCCGGUGAUCUAGCCAUGGGCAGGUUGAAGGUUGGGUAACACUAACUGGAGGACCGAACCGACUAAUGUUGAAAAAUUAGCGGAUGACCUGUGGCU
This 362-nucleotide ribosomal RNA is filed under the name Salmonella enterica subsp. enterica serovar Infantis. Its description in RNAcentral is "partial 23S ribosomal RNA". It matches the Rfam family "Bacterial large subunit ribosomal RNA", at positions 454 to 816 of the family's 2925-position model. The record is from RNAcentral. RNAcentral also lists the same sequence under 7 other names. Lineage: Bacteria; Pseudomonadati; Pseudomonadota; Gammaproteobacteria; Enterobacterales; Enterobacteriaceae.